This 423-nucleotide ribosomal RNA is filed under the name uncultured bacterium. RNAcentral describes it as "partial 16S ribosomal RNA". It matches the Rfam family "Bacterial small subunit ribosomal RNA", at positions 359 to 774 of the family's 1533-position model. The record is from RNAcentral.
GAAUCUUCCACAAUGGACGAAAGUCUGAUGGAGCAAUGCCUCGUGAGUGAAGAAGGUUUUCGGAUCGUAAAACUCUGUUGUGAGGGUAGAACAAGUAUCAGAGUAACUGCUCGUACCUUGACGGUACCUCAUUAGACAGCAUCGGCUAACUACGUGCGCGCAGCCGCGGUAAUACGGAGGUGGCAAGCGUUGUCCGGAAUUAUUGGGCGUAAAGCGCGCGCAGGCGGGUCAUUAAGUCUGAUGUGAAAGCCCACGGCGCAACCGUGGAAGGUCAUUGGAAACUGGGGGACUUGAGUACAGAAGAGGAAAGCGGAAUUCGAAGUGUAGCGGUGAAAUGCGUAGAGAUUUGGAGGAACACCAGUGGCGAAGGCGGCUUUCUGGUCUGUAACUGACGCUGAGGCGCGAAAGCGUGGGGAGCAAACA